AGGACAUGCAGAUCAGAAAGGAAGAAAUGAAAUCCCUGAUUUCCAGAUGACAUGAUUUUCUACAAAGAAAAACAACCCUCCUAGAACUACUGGGCAGACACCCUCUGGAAUGUAUCACCAACAUAUAUUUGUGAAGCUUAUUUGUUUUGCAUUCAUAAGGGAACUUCCAUUAACUGCUAAGUAAAAUUACUCCGGUUGGUUCAGAAGUACCCAGAGUGGCUGUGAAUGGUUCUUAUGUAAAUGAAAAAAGAAAACAAUACAAAGGGCAAGGUGUGCACCAUACCGUCCUGGUGACCAAAUGAAUUAAAGGAGAAUUAAAGGAGAACUUGGAGAGGAAGAAUGAUAUGUCUGUCUGUAGACAUCGACAACCAAUCACAGCCCAGCCCCCUGCAUUCUGGUUGCCACUUCAGGGUCCUUCUCAACACAGGCCGCCACUCCAUUGGCAUUCAGGGUGGCACUGUUAUUUACCAUCCUGCCUUGAAAGCAUCUCUGCUGGAGUCAUCUGCCAUUGAAGCUGGGCUGGACCACUUCCCCAGGAUGACAAGGGGACAGAUUCCUCUGGCCAGACGGAGACCCUUCUGUAGCUGAUGCACUUUAUGGAAGUGUCCCCGGAACAGAGGUCAAGAGCAGUUGCCCAUGGCCCAGGCCCCUGUCUCCUCUUCUGCUUCUCUCGCCCUCUCCACUGUCUGCCUUGUCACACUCCUACUAACUCAAGACUGCAUUUUGUGCGUGUUGCCCCAGAUCCCAAUUAUUGCUCAGUGGAACUUUAGAGUUACUUAAUCCUUUUACACUAUUCACUACCUUGUGCCUUCUUUUCAGGGUGAACCGGGGAAGUGUUAGAGCUAAAGCACAAUUUAAAAAUAUGAGUCGGAAGCCUUCAAAAUACCGUCUCCUUCAAAAUACACUAACUGUUUUGUUCAUUUUAAUGGGAAUUUCCUUUCCAUUGGUGAUUAUAGGAAGUGGGGAAGAGUGCUGAGUGUUUAAAGCAUUAUGGUGCAAGAUUAAUGCAUUCAUUUUAUCUUUUGAGUUUUUGUAGUUCUUACCACGGUGAUCUUGGAAGGAGGACAGCACUGGCAUUGAACUAGAGUUGCCCCAUGUUAAUA
Molecule: long non-coding RNA, 1103 nt
Organism: Myotis myotis
Lineage: Eukaryota; Metazoa; Chordata; Mammalia; Chiroptera; Vespertilionidae
Exons: 4
Source: RefSeq, a predicted model, not a curated record